CCUUCAUGAAGCUGGAAUUGCUAGUAAUGGCAGGUCAGCAUACUGCCGUGAAUACGUUCCCGGGCCUUGUACACACCGCCCGUCACACCAUGAGAGUUGGAAAUACCCGAAGCCUGUGAGCUAACUGUAAAGAGGCAGCAGUCGAAGGUAGAGCCAAUGAUUGGGGUGAAGUCGUAACAAGGUAUC
RNAcentral lists this ribosomal RNA (186 nucleotides) under uncultured bacterium. RNAcentral describes it as "partial 16S ribosomal RNA". It matches the Rfam family "Bacterial small subunit ribosomal RNA", at positions 1315 to 1500 of the family's 1533-position model. The record is from RNAcentral.